GUCCCUGUAGAUCAAGGCAGAUCAUCCCAGCUCAAUAAGGCUUAUAGUGACAAAUUUGUUGGGACGCCGGCGGUUCGACUCCGCCCGGGGACA
Molecule: non-coding RNA, 93 nt
Organism: Mycena olivaceomarginata
Lineage: Eukaryota; Fungi; Basidiomycota; Agaricomycetes; Agaricales; Mycenaceae
Source: the annotation of a GenBank genome assembly